UACGUAGGGUGCAAGCGUUGUCCGGAAUCAUUGGGCGUAAAGAGCUCGUAGGCGGUCUGUCGCGUCUCCUGUGAAAACUCGGGGCUUAACCUCGGGCCUGCAGUGGGUACGGGCAGACUAGAGUGCGGUAGGGGAGACUGGAAUUCCUGGUGUAGCGGUGAAAUGCGCAGAUAUCAGGAGGAACACCGGUGGCGAAGGCGGGUCUCUGGGCCGUAACUGACGCUGAGGAGCGAAAGCGUGGGGAGCGAACAGG
RNAcentral lists this ribosomal RNA (253 nucleotides) under uncultured bacterium. Its description in RNAcentral is "partial 16S ribosomal RNA". It matches the Rfam family "Bacterial small subunit ribosomal RNA", at positions 524 to 776 of the family's 1533-position model. The record is from RNAcentral.